UGAGGGCGCCUAAACUCCAGAUAUGGGCUGGU
This 32-nucleotide non-coding RNA is filed under the name Mus musculus (house mouse). The record is from RNAcentral. Lineage: Eukaryota; Metazoa; Chordata; Mammalia; Rodentia; Muridae.